AUAGGUCUCAUAUUGUCCGGUCUGCCUGCCCACUGAAAUUUUUAAAUGGCCGCAGUAUCCUAACUGUGCAAAGGUAGCAUAAUCAUUAGUCUUUUAAUUGAAGGCUGGAAUGAAUGGUUGAACGAAACAUUAACUGUUUCAUAUAAAUUUAAAAUAAAACUUUAUUUUUUAGUAAAAAAGCUAAAAUAAUUUUAAAAGACGAGAAGACCCUAUGAAUCUUUAUAUUUAUUUUAUUUUAAUUAUAAAGGUUUAUUUUAUUAUAAUAAAUUUAAAUAUUUUAUUGGGGUGAUAUUAAAAUUUGAUAAACUUUUAAUUUAAAAAGUCAUUAAUUUAUGAAUUUUUGAUCCAAUUGUAUUGAUUAUAAAUUUAAGUUACUCUAGGGAUAACAGCGUAAUUUUUUUGGAGAGUUCUUAUCGAUAAAAAAGAUUGCGACCUCGAUGUUGGAUUAAGAGAUAAAUUUGGGCGCAGUUGUUCAAAAAUUAAGUCUGUUCGACUUUUAAAUUCUUACGUGAUCUGAUUUCAGACCGGACUUCCG
RNAcentral lists this ribosomal RNA (535 nucleotides) under Sapromyza basalis. RNAcentral's name for it is "partial 16S ribosomal RNA". It matches the Rfam family "Bacterial large subunit ribosomal RNA", at positions 1834 to 2628 of the family's 2925-position model. Lineage: Eukaryota; Metazoa; Arthropoda; Insecta; Diptera; Lauxaniidae. The record is from RNAcentral.